This 253-nucleotide ribosomal RNA is filed under the name uncultured bacterium. Its description in RNAcentral is "partial 16S ribosomal RNA". It matches the Rfam family "Bacterial small subunit ribosomal RNA", at positions 524 to 776 of the family's 1533-position model. The record is from RNAcentral.
UACAGAGGUCUCAAGCGUUGUUCGGAAUUACUGGGCGUAAAGGGCGCGUAGGCGGCCUUCUAAGUCGAACGUGAAAUCCCCGGGCUCAACCCGGGAACUGCGUCCGAUACUGGGAGGCUUGAGUCCGGGAGAGGUGAGUGGAACUCCGAGUGUAGAGGUGAAAUCCGUAGAUAUUCGGAAGAACACCAGUGGCGAAGGCGGCUCACUGGCCCGGUACUGACGCUGAGGUGCGAAAGCGUGGGGAGCAAACAGG